CAGUAGCCACGGUAGUACGGAGGGGGCUAGCGUUGUUCGGAAUUACUGGACGUAAAGCGCACGUAGGCGGCUUGGUAAGUUAGAGGUGAAAGCCUGGAGCUCAACUCCAGAAUUGCCUUUAAGACUGCCGAGCUAGCAGGUGAGAGAGGUAAGUGGAAUUCCGAGUGUAGAGGUGAAAUUCGUAGAUAUUCGGAAGAACACCAGUGGCGAAGGCGGCUUACUGGCUCAUACUGGACGCUGAGGUGCGAAAGCGUGGGGAGCAAACAGGAUUAGAUACCCCAGUAGUCCCUGUCUCUUAUAA
RNAcentral lists this ribosomal RNA (301 nucleotides) under uncultured bacterium. RNAcentral's name for it is "partial 16S ribosomal RNA". It matches the Rfam family "Bacterial small subunit ribosomal RNA", at positions 509 to 809 of the family's 1533-position model. The record is from RNAcentral.